Molecule: ribosomal RNA, 450 nt
Filed under: uncultured bacterium
Lineage: Bacteria
Description: partial 16S ribosomal RNA
Rfam family: Bacterial small subunit ribosomal RNA
Source: RNAcentral
GUGGGGAAUUUUGGACAAUGGGCGCAAGCCUGAUCCAGCAAUGCCGCGUGCAGGAAGAAGGCCUUCGGGUUGUAAACUGCUUUUGUACGGAACGAAACGGUCCGGGUUAAUACCCUGGGCUAAUGACGGUACCGUAAGAAUAAGCACCGGCUAACUACGUGCCAGCAGCCGCGGUAAUACGUAGGGUGCAAGCGUUAAUCGGAAUUACUGGGCGUAAGGCGUGCGCAGGCGGUUUUGUAAGACAGGCGUGAAAUCCCCGGGCGCAACCUGGGAAUUGCGCUUGUGACUGCAAGGCUGGAGUGCGGCAGAGGGGGAUGGAAUUCCGCGUGUAGCAGUGAAAUGCGUAGAUAUGCGGAGGAACACCGAUGGCGAAGGCAAUCCCCUGGGCCUGCACUGACGCUCAUGCACGAAAGCGUGGGGAGCAAACAGGAUUAGAAACCCGUGUAGUCC